This is a long non-coding RNA of Oryza sativa Japonica Group (Japanese rice), 971 nucleotides long. RefSeq lists it as uncharacterized. NCBI's taxonomy places the organism in Eukaryota, Viridiplantae, Streptophyta, Magnoliopsida, Poales, Poaceae. The record is from RefSeq and is a predicted model, not a curated record.
GGUGAGAGUCACUCGUGUGUGAUGGGGACAUGCAUAUUCAUAUCAUCCAUCAUCAAUUUCAUCAUGCUGCUCCUACUACCCUACUUCAUAUUCUUUAAUUGAUACUAUAUUACUAGUAUGUGGUUAAUUACUCAUAUAUUAGUAGUAUAGCUUAAAGCUGCCCGUGAUCUCCAGCUAGCCGAUCGAUCAGCAGACUGCCACGAGCCUAUGUAAUUUAUGGCAAUCUAGGAGUAGACGUCAGUACACUUUGGAUCACCUACUACUACAUGACAAUGCAAGCUCGGUGACCCGUGAGUGCUGCCAACACUGGCCCACUGCAGCUAGCUAGCAAACGAAGAAAAUGUUCAGACACAACAAACAAGCGACCACAUUACGUGUACAGCCUCCGAAGCUUAAUUAGCACACGGGCUGAACAGCUCCAAAUGCCUGAGUGUUGGCCACCAUCCAAAGAAGAAUUAGAGGAAUCUUUGGAAUUGACAGGGAUCGAUGCUGCAUCACGGAUUUUGCCAAAAGUCUCUUUCAGAGUCUAGUGUCAAUGCAAGUGUGCUGCUAGUUUCCUCCUAAGCUAGUAGUGUCACCGGCCACUAGAUGGAAUAAUAUCCUUGUGUGCUUGGAGGGCAAAAGAGUUUCAGAUUCAGAGACCCUUCUUUUCAGCACAACAACAGUGGAGAGGACAAAGAUGAAACUGAAACGAUGUGCCUGCCACGAAGUUGUUGAUUAAGUCCGCAUCAUUAAGACUACUUGAGGUCAUCAGGUGAAUAGUUAAUUGGAUUUGUAAUUGGAUAUUGGUUGGGCGAUUGAGGCUUAAUUAUGGUCCUGGAUGAUCUGGUCCGAAUAACAUAGUGUCAAACCCAAGAUGCCGAAUCAAUGAUCGAUAUGUGUUAACGCAUAGCUGUGGACAGAUAUCAUAUGGAUAUGGGAUUGUUCUGGAAUCAAUACGAGAUUAUAUAUAAAGAAAGUAUUAUCUAACC